Molecule: long non-coding RNA, 1893 nt
Organism: Rosa chinensis
Lineage: Eukaryota; Viridiplantae; Streptophyta; Magnoliopsida; Rosales; Rosaceae
Exons: 7
Source: RefSeq, a predicted model, not a curated record
AAAAAAAUUAAAGCCCGAUCCCAAAAGUUAGACAGAAAACCCUAAGCUCUCGCGCGGCCUCCAUCUCACUCGAACUCGCCUUCAUUCUGAACUCACCCCAAACUGGAUCUCCUCCCAAACCCGACCUCCAUCUCCUCCCUUCCUUCCUUCAUCUACGUCCUCAGCUUCUUCGGCAUCAACUCCGUCCAGUCCGGCAUCGACUCUGUCCAGUCCGUCCUCAGCUUGUUCGUCGAAGCAUUUCUAAACAGUGCCGUUCCGUCUUAGCCUCUGGAAUCAAAGCAAGAGAGCGGCGGCCAGUCGGCGCGACUCACUUCAGAGAACGACUCUGUUGUGGGAUUCGAAGGAUUUGCCUGUUGAAGGAUUCUAGGAGUCGCCGGUCGGAGACGAAGUAAUCUUACUUGUGAGCGAUUGCAUUUGGGGAGUUGAGCGACUAUUCAGAGUUGUGAUCGACAAGCAGGUCAUUUACUCGAGCCCCUCUUUUAUUUUUUGCUCUUCCAUGUUUUCAUUUGUGAAGUUUGUUUGAUUUUGGGCGAAAACAUAGAGGACCUACAUCGAUUUCCUGGCUUGAAGCCGUUGCAGCCUUAAACCGCUAAGUCGGGGUUUUAAGGCAAAAGAAAUCCAACCUUGUCCAGAGGUUAGAGACGGCGGGACUGUGGCAGGAGACGAAGGGCUGCUCUGAAAUUUCCGAUUCCUCGAAAUGAGAUGGAGCAAUAAGCAAUGUCAAGCAUUCCCCAAAUUGCAGAUAACCGAAAUAGCUUUCGUCUUCAAAUUUGAUCUCAAUCAGUAGAGAGUUAGGGAUUUGAUUUUCCAAUUUUGGGCGCGAAAAGGUGGACCAGAAAGAGAAGAUAAGGUCUCUUUGGAGCUGACAGAGGAGAUUAAUUGAAAGCAUGGAAGUUGGGCUGGCUUUCAGGGACUACGUUACUUGAUAGAAAAGAUUGAAUUUGAAAAUCUACUUCACAAAGCUUCAGUGUCUUUUUGUGCAACUCGAGUUGCUUCUUCAGGCCAUAUGGUGGGUAUUCGUAUCUCUUGGAGCCUCUGUGCUGGUUGGGAUUGAUUACAAGUAAGUUUCUUCUUAUCAAGUUUUAUUUUGCCAUUUUUGGACUAAGUUAUGAUCUUGUUUGGCCAACAUUGUGAUCUGUUUUGGGUGUUGCAUUGUUAUUGAGAUGGGCACUUGCUGUUUGAGUUCCAUUUUAAAUUAUUACUCGGAUAAUAUAGUAUGCAACUAUGCAUACACCUAGUGGUGUUGUUUUGAUAAAGAUGAAUGUGCUCCUCUAUGCUCCACCUCUUCUACCCCUCAUGUUAAAGUUUUGUAGCCUUGAGUUACGUCUUCUUAAUUUUUCACAUUUACAGACUAAUCAACUCUUGUAACGAACAAGCAGUAUGUGUUUUAUUCCAACAUUGGUAGAGCAGGACAUAAGUUAGAAGCUGCUAUUUAUCGAUAUUACUGGCAAAGUAGCUCUUGAUUCAUGCUGGUCAACUGGUGGAUUUACCGACUGUUUACUUCAGUAUGGUGCAUUGUUUGUUUAUGGAGUUGAUAUUGGAUAUGGCCAGGUUGCAGAUGAACUUGUAGCAGAGUUUUCUGACCCUAUCAAUGGUGUCACAUCCCCUGAUCAAAUUGACGAGGUGCGCAUUGAAUAAGUGGUUGAUUAUAUACAGAGUUUGAUGUAGGAAUGUGACUGCCAAGAUGUUUUUUGAGUAAGGCUAGCUAGUUUUGGCUUUGAAGCAAAGCUUGGUGUGGAACUUUUGUACAUUGUUGCUCGUAUGUUUCCAAGCUAGCUUUUGUAAGUUUAGGGGUUUAUUUUGUGAAUUAUGUUGAAUCAUGAAUUUGGAAAGAAAAUUAAUGGGAAAGCCCCUUAUUUUGGAUGAUGAGAAAUGCAAUUUUUUUCCCAGCAA